RNAcentral lists this unclassified non-coding RNA (200 nucleotides) under uncultured Oliveonia. Its description in RNAcentral is "sequence contains ITS2". Lineage: Eukaryota; Fungi; Basidiomycota; Agaricomycetes; Auriculariales. The record is from RNAcentral.
AAACCCUCACACCUGCGACGUCAAAAUCGCCGGCUGUGGAUUUGGACCGUGCCGUAAUUGGCUCGUCCUUGAAAUGCAUUAGCUUGUGCUCGUUAGAGUGCUCGGCAUGGUGUGAUAAUUAUCUGCGCCGUUAUGCCUUAGGCCUCUUCUGUUGUGCGCUGCUUCUAAUCGUCCCUUGUGGACAACUUACAAUUAAAGCU